This 69-nucleotide transfer RNA is filed under the name Cynopterus brachyotis (lesser short-nosed fruit bat). Its description in RNAcentral is "tRNA-Cys". It matches the Rfam family "tRNA". Rfam says of the family: Transfer RNA (tRNA) molecules are approximately 80 nucleotides in length. Their secondary structure includes four short double-helical elements and three loops (D, anti-codon, and T loops). Lineage: Eukaryota; Metazoa; Chordata; Mammalia; Chiroptera; Pteropodidae. The record is from RNAcentral.
GGUCUCGUAGUGUUGUAAUACAUGCUGAAUUGCAAAUUCAGAGAAGCAGCUUCAAUUCUGCCGGGACUU